RNAcentral lists this ribosomal RNA (396 nucleotides) under uncultured bacterium. RNAcentral describes it as "bacterial SSU rRNA". It matches the Rfam family "Bacterial small subunit ribosomal RNA", at positions 772 to 1167 of the family's 1533-position model. The record is from RNAcentral.
ACUAAAUAGAUACCCAGGUAGUCCACGCCCUAAACGAUGAUUACUCGACAUUGGCGAUAUUACUGUUCAGUGUCUGAGCGAAAGCGUUAAGUAAUCCACCUGGGGAGUACGCCCGCAAGGGUGAAACUCAAAGGAAUUGACGGGGGUCCGCACAAGCGGAGGAGCAUGUGGUUUAAUUCGAUGAUACGCGAGGAACCUUACCUGGGCUAGAAUGCGCGUGAAUGUUCGGAAACGAGACAGGCUCAGCAAUGAGACACAAAGCAAGGUGCUGCAUGGCUGUCGUCAGCUCGUGCCGUGAGGUGUUGGGUUUAAGUCCCGCAACGAGCGCAACCCUCAUCAUUAGUUGCCAGCGGGUAGAGCCGGGGACUCUAGUGAAACUGCCUGCGUAAGCAGCGA